Molecule: ribosomal RNA, 440 nt
Filed under: uncultured bacterium
Lineage: Bacteria
Description: partial 16S ribosomal RNA
Rfam family: Bacterial small subunit ribosomal RNA
Source: RNAcentral
CCUACGGGUGGCUGCAGUGGGGAAUAUUGCUCAAUGGGGGAAACCCUGAUGCAGCGACGCCGCGUGAAGGAAGAAGUAUUUCGGUAUGUAAACUUUUAUUAGCAGGGAAGAAAAUGACGGUACCUGACUAAGAAGCCCCGGUUAACUACGGGCAAGCAGCCGCGGUACUCGGUCGGGGGCCAGCGUUAUCCGGAUUUACUGGGUGUAAAGGGGGCUUAGGUGGUUUAGCAAGGUCGAAGUGAAAGCCCGGGGCUCAACUCCGGGACUGCUUUUGAAACUGUUGAACUAGAUUGCAGGAGAGGUAAGUGGAAUUCCUGGUGUAGCGGUGAAAUGCGUAGAUAUUAGGAGGAACACCAGUGGCGAAGGCGGCUUACUGGACUGUAAAUGACGCUGAGGCUCGAAAGCGUGGGGAGCAAACAGGAUUAGAUACCCGUGUAGUC